This 820-nucleotide ribosomal RNA is filed under the name uncultured bacterium. RNAcentral's name for it is "bacterial SSU rRNA". It matches the Rfam family "Bacterial small subunit ribosomal RNA", at positions 8 to 851 of the family's 1533-position model. The record is from RNAcentral.
AGAGUUUGAUCCUGGCUCAGCGUGAACGCUGGCGGCGUGGCUAAGACAUGCAAGUCGAACGGGUGUAGCAAUACACCAGUGGCGGACGGGUGAGUAAUGUAUAGCUAACGUGCCCCUUGGACAGGGAUAGCCAUCCGAAAGGAUGGGUAAUACCUGGUGACAUAACCUGAUCGCAUGGUUGGGUUCUCAUAGGCCGUAAGGUGCCGAGGGAGCGGGCUAUAUUGUAUCAGCUAGUUGGUGAGGUAAUGGCUCACCAAGGCGACGACGCAUAGCCGGACUAAGAGGUUGUCCGGCCACAUUGGGACUGAGACACUGCCCAGACUCCUACGGGGGGCUGCAGUAACGAAUCUUCCGCAAUGCACGAAAGUGUGACGGAGCGACGCCGCGUGUGGGACGAAGUUCUUCGGAAUGUAAACCACUGUCAGGGGUUAGAAAGUUCUGAUCAACCCCAGAGGAAGGCACGGCUAACUCUGUGCCAGCAGCCGCGGUAAGACAGAGGUGCCAAGCGUUAGGCGGAAUCACUGGGCUUAAAGCGUGUGUAGGCGGAUUGACAAGUACUUUGUGAAAUCCCACGGCUUAACCGUGGAACUGCUCGGUAUACUGUCAGUCUUGAGCUAUCUAGAGGCAACUGGAACAAACGGUGGAGCGGUGAAAUGCGUAGAUAUCGUUUGGAAUGCCAAAGGUGAAAACAGGUUGCUGGGGAUAUGCUGACGCUGAGACACGAAAGCCAGGGGAGCAAACGGGAUUAGAUACCCCGGUAGUCCUGGCCCUAAACAAUGUCCACUAGAUCUCAGCAGCUCUGACGUUGUUGUGGUCGUAG